AAGUCGUAACAAGGUUUCCGUAGGUGAACCUGCGGAAGGAUCAUUACCGAGUUCAUGCCCUUCGGGGUAGAUCUCCCCACCCUUUGUAUACUAUACCUUUGUUGCUUUGGUGGGCCGCCUAGCUACUGGCUUCGGCUGGUAAGUGCCCGCCAGAGAACCCAAAACCCUGAAUUAUUAGUGUCGUCUGAGUAAAAUAUUUAAUAUUUAAAACUUUCAACAACGGAUCUCUUGGCUCUG
This is an unclassified non-coding RNA of 237 nucleotides. The stretch from base 1 to 46 matches the Rfam family "Eukaryotic small subunit ribosomal RNA", at positions 1786 to 1831 of the family's 1831-position model.